This 73-nucleotide transfer RNA is filed under the name Dipodomys ordii (Ord's kangaroo rat). It matches the Rfam family "tRNA". Rfam says of the family: Transfer RNA (tRNA) molecules are approximately 80 nucleotides in length. Their secondary structure includes four short double-helical elements and three loops (D, anti-codon, and T loops). Further hydrogen bonds mediate the characteristic L-shaped molecular structure. tRNAs have two regions of fundamental functional importance: the anti-codon, which is responsible for specific mRNA codon recognition, and the 3' end, to which the tRNAs corresponding amino acid is attached (by aminoacyl-tRNA synthetases). tRNAs cope with the degeneracy of the genetic code in two manners: having more than one tRNA (with a specific anti-codon) for a particular amino acid; and 'wobble' base-pairing, i.e. permitting non-standard base-pairing at the 3rd anti-codon position. Lineage: Eukaryota; Metazoa; Chordata; Mammalia; Rodentia; Heteromyidae. The record is from Rfam by way of RNAcentral.
AGGCACAUGGCUCAAUUGGUAGAGUACAUGCCUAGCAAGCAGAAGGCUGUGAGUUCAAUCCCCAUUACCUCUA